UACGGGGGAGCAAGCGUUGUUCGGAUUUACUGGGCGUAAAGGGCGCGUAGGCGGUCGUGACAAGUCACUUGUGAAAUCUCCGGGCUUAACUCGGAACGGUCAAGUGAUACUGUCGGACUAGAGUACAGAAGGGGCAACUGGAAUUCUCGGUGUAGCGGUGAAAUGCGUAGAUAUCGAGAGGAACACCUGCGGCGAAGGCGGGUUGCUGGGCUGACACUGACGCUGAACUGCGAAAGCUAGGGGAGCGAACGGG
Molecule: ribosomal RNA, 253 nt
Filed under: uncultured bacterium
Lineage: Bacteria
Description: partial 16S ribosomal RNA
Rfam family: Bacterial small subunit ribosomal RNA
Source: RNAcentral